Molecule: ribosomal RNA, 2928 nt
Filed under: Salmonella enterica subsp. enterica serovar Senftenberg
Lineage: Bacteria; Pseudomonadati; Pseudomonadota; Gammaproteobacteria; Enterobacterales; Enterobacteriaceae
Description: 23S ribosomal RNA
Rfam family: Bacterial large subunit ribosomal RNA
Source: RNAcentral
GGGUUGUGAGGUUAAGCGACUAAGCGUACACGGUGGAUGCCCUGGCAGUCAGAGGCGAUGAAGGACGUGCUAAUCUGCGAUAAGCGCCGGUAAGGUGAUAUGAACCGUUAUAACCGGCGAUUUCCGAAUGGGGAAACCCAGUGUGACUCGUCACACUAUCAUUAACUGAAUCCAUAGGUUAAUGAGGCGAACCGGGGGAACUGAAACAUCUAAGUACCCCGAGGAAAAGAAAUCAACCGAGAUUCCCCCAGUAGCGGCGAGCGAACGGGGAGGAGCCCAGAGCCUGAAUCAGCAUGUGUGUUAGUGGAAGCGUCUGGAAAGGCGCGCGAUACAGGGUGACAGCCCCGUACACAAAAGCGCAUGUGCUGUGAGCUCGAUGAGUAGGGCGGGACACGUGGUAUCCUGUCUGAAUAUGGGGGGACCAUCCUCCAAGGCUAAAUACUCCUGACUGACCGAUAGUGAACCAGUACCGUGAGGGAAAGGCGAAAAGAACCCCGGCGAGGGGAGUGAAAAAGAACCUGAAACCGUGUACGUACAAGCAGUGGGAGCACAGGUUUACCUGUGUGACUGCGUACCUUUUGUAUAAUGGGUCAGCGACUUAUAUUCUGUAGCAAGGUUAACCGAAUAGGGGAGCCGGAGGGAAACCGAGUCUUAAUUGGGCGUUAAGUUGCAGGGUAUAGACCCGAAACCCGGUGAUCUAGCCAUGGGCAGGUUGAAGGUUGGGUAACACUAACUGGAGGACCGAACCGACUAAUGUUGAAAAAUUAGCGGAUGACCUGUGGCUGGGGGUGAAAGGCCAAUCAAACCGGGAGAUAGCUGGUUCUCCCCGAAAGCUAUUUAGGUAGCGCCUCGUGAAUUCAUCUCCGGGGGUAGAGCACUGUUUCGGCUAGGGGGCCAUCCCGGCUUACCAACCCGAUGCAAACUGCGAAUACCGGAGAAUGUUAUCACGGGAGACACACGGCGGGUGCUAACGUCCGUCGUGAAGAGGGAAACAACCCAGACCGCCAGCUAAGGUCCCAAAGUCAUGGUUAAGUGGGAAACGAUGUGGGAAGGCCCAGACAGCCAGGAUGUUGGCUUAGAAGCAGCCAUCAUUUAAAGAAAGCGUAAUAGCUCACUGGUCGAGUCGGCCUGCGCGGAAGAUGUAACGGGGCUAAACCAUGCACCGAAGCUGCGGCAGCGACACUGUGUGUUGUUGGGUAGGGGAGCGUUCUGUAAGCCUGCGAAGGUGGCCUGUGAGGGUUGCUGGAGGUAUCAGAAGUGCGAAUGCUGACAUAAGUAACGAUAAAGCGGGUGAAAAGCCCGCUCGCCGGAAGACCAAGGGUUCCUGUCCAACGUUAAUCGGGGCAGGGUGAGUCGACCCCUAAGGCGAGGCCGAAAGGCGUAGUCGAUGGGAAACGGGUUAAUAUUCCCGUACUUGGUGUUACUGCGAAGGGGGGACGGAGAAGGCUAUGUUGGCCGGGCGACGGUUGUCCCGGUUUAAGCGUGUAGGUGGUGGUUCCAAGUAAAUCCGGUUCACUUUAACACUGAGGCGUGACGACGAGGCACUACGGUGCUGAAGCAACAAAUGCCCUGCUUCCAGGAAAAGCCUCUAAGCAUCAGGUAACAUCAAAUCGUACCCCAAACCGACACAGGUGGUCAGGUAGAGAAUACCAAGGCGCUUGAGAGAACUCGGGUGAAGGAACUAGGCAAAAUGGUGCCGUAACUUCGGGAGAAGGCACGCUGACACGUAGGUGAAGUGAUUUACUCAUGGAGCUGAAGUCAGUCGAAGAUACCAGCUGGCUGCAACUGUUUAUUAAAAACACAGCACUGUGCAAACACGAAAGUGGACGUAUACGGUGUGACGCCUGCCCGGUGCCGGAAGGUUAAUUGAUGGGGUCAGCGCAAGCGAAGCUCCUGAUCGAAGCCCCGGUAAACGGCGGCCGUAACUAUAACGGUCCUAAGGUAGCGAAAUUCCUUGUCGGGUAAGUUCCGACCUGCACGAAUGGCGUAAUGAUGGCCAGGCUGUCUCCACCCGAGACUCAGUGAAAUUGAACUCGCUGUGAAGAUGCAGUGUACCCGCGGCAAGACGGAAAGACCCCGUGAACCUUUACUAUAGCUUGACACUGAACAUUGAGCCUUGAUGUGUAGGAUAGGUGGGAGGCUUUGAAGUGUGGACGCCAGUCUGCAUGGAGCCGACCUUGAAAUACCACCCUUUAAUGUUUGAUGUUCUAACGUGGACCCGUAAUCCGGGUUGCGGACAGUGUCUGGUGGGUAGUUUGACUGGGGCGGUCUCCUCCUAAAGAGUAACGGAGGAGCACGAAGGUUGGCUAAUCCUGGUCGGACAUCAGGAGGUUAGUGCAAUGGCAUAAGCCAGCUUGACUGCGAGCGUGACGGCGCGAGCAGGUGCGAAAGCAGGUCAUAGUGAUCCGGUGGUUCUGAAUGGAAGGGCCAUCGCUCAACGGAUAAAAGGUACUCCGGGGAUAACAGGCUGAUACCGCCCAAGAGUUCAUAUCGACGGCGGUGUUUGGCACCUCGAUGUCGGCUCAUCACAUCCUGGGGCUGAAGUAGGUCCCAAGGGUAUGGCUGUUCGCCAUUUAAAGUGGUACGCGAGCUGGGUUUAGAACGUCGUGAGACAGUUCGGUCCCUAUCUGCCGUGGGCGCUGGAGAACUGAGGGGGGCUGCUCCUAGUACGAGAGGACCGGAGUGGACGCAUCACUGGUGUUCGGGUUGUCAUGCCAAUGGCACUGCCCGGUAGCUAAAUGCGGAAGAGAUAAGUGCUGAAAGCAUCUAAGCACGAAACUUGCCCCGAGAUGAGUUCUCCCUGAGACUUAGAGUCUCCUGAAGGAACGUUGAAGACGACGACGUUGAUAGGCCGGGUGUGUAAGCGCAGCGAUGCGUUGAGCUAACCGGUACUAAUGAACCGUGAGGCUUAACCUUACAACGCCAAAG